Molecule: long non-coding RNA, 1028 nt
Filed under: Canis lupus familiaris (dog)
Lineage: Eukaryota; Metazoa; Chordata; Mammalia; Carnivora; Canidae
Description: lncRNA (ENSCAFG00000035668.3)
Source: RNAcentral
CUUAAACUGUUCCUUAACUAUCAAUCUCAUUGCAACAGAUUUCUGUUUCCAAAGGAAGCAUCAUAGCAGGGCCCCGCCUGAUGUCACUUCAACUCCGAGUGCCAACAUGAAAACACGCAAAAGCCUGUUUUCCAACUUGUAGAUCAGAAAACAGGCCUGAUACUGGGAGACAUGUUUUCAUAUCAAGUACGCAGCAUUCUGACAAAGCUCCUCCGUCCCCACCUUUCUCAGUUGUAAGAAAACCCAAGAUGUGUUGAGCUCGCUAGAAUCAAAGUUGACUUUGGCAAUAGUACUCCUUCAUUUGAUCCAAAUUUACAAGUGGAGAAGUUACAGCACUCCAUUUUUGUUCACGUAUCUACUUCUCUACCAUGUGACUGAGAGAAAGCUGAUCUGGACACUGGAACCUGCUUCAUCUGAGCCAGUAAAUGUGCAACAUUGUCCGGGUGACAUUAUGCAUUCAGAGCUGUACAUGAGGAACUAAGUCUGCCCAAUUAUAGUCCAUGAUUGAAGGAGAGGUUUCUUUAGCUCUUCCACAAGAUCUAACAAAAGACAAUGAUUCACUUGAUAUGUCAACAAACUGGGGGCAUUGAGGACCCAAAUCAAGGAGAAGCUGACAGAUCAAAGGAUAACAGAUUUUAAAAACUUGAAUUCUUGAUGACAGUACUGAGCUACUGAAAAAAAAAAAAUCAGCCUGGGAACCUUACUGACUUCUAAAUUGCUUCUUAUGUGGGAUGAAAAAUAUCUGAAGAUCCACUGUUGAUGUGAAUGAUUUUUAUAUGAUUACUCUUCAAAAUGUGAUUAUUAUUUGUAUAUUUGCACUGUAAGAAUAUAUCUUAAAUUUUUACUUUAUUUAGCCACGGUCACUAUAUCUUUGAGCAUUGAACAUAUUUAAGCAACAAUAUUUCAACACUUCUUUCAAGUGGAUUUUUGAAGUUACUGGGUCCAGAGGAGUUUUACGUGUCCCGAAUAAAAUGCUAAUUUGUAUAUCUAUAAGUAUGUAUUUUUAUAUUUUUCCUUUUCAAAAUUAA